CGAGAGGGUUCGGCCCUCGGCGUACUGCUCAGUAACACGUGGAUAACCUGCCCUAGGGAAGGGGAUAACCCCGGGAAACUGGGGAUAAUACCCUAUAGGUUACAGAUGCUGGAAUGCCCUGUAACCCAAAGUUCCGGCGCCCUAGGAUGGAUCUGCGGCCGAUUAGGUAGUUGUUGGGGUAAUGGCCCAACAAGCCAGUAAUCGGUACGGGUUGUGGGAGCAAGAGCCCGGAGUUGGAUUCUGAGACACGAAUCCAGGCCCUACGGGGCGCAGCAGGCGCGAAAACUUUACAAUGCGGGCAACCGUGAUAAGGGAACCUCGAGUGCCUGUAAACGCAGGCUGUUCAGGUGUCUAAAACACACCUGGAGAAAGGGCCGGGCAAGACCGGUGCCAGCCGCCGCGGUAAUACCGGCGGCUCAAGUGGUGGCCACUUUUAUUGGGCUUAAAGCGUUCGUAGCUGGGUUGUUAAGUCUCUUGGGAAAUCUGGCGGCUUAACCGUCAGGCGUCUAAGGGAUACUGGCAAUCUUGGAACCGGGAGAGGUGAGGGGUACUUCGGGGGUAGGAGUGAAAUCCUGUAAUCCUCGAGGGACCCCUGGGGAAGGCGCCUCCCAAACGGCUUCGAAGUGAGGAACGAAAGCUGGGGGAGCAAACCGGAUUAAUACCCGGGUAGUCCCAGCCGUAAACGAUGCGCGUUAGGUUCGGGGCCCGAGUUACCGAGGGCCGAAGGGAAACCGGAAACGGCCCCUGGGAAGUACGGUCGCAAGGCUGAAACUUAAAGGAAUUGGGGGGGAGCAA
Molecule: ribosomal RNA, 795 nt
Filed under: uncultured archaeon
Lineage: Archaea
Description: bacterial SSU rRNA
Rfam family: Archaeal small subunit ribosomal RNA
Source: RNAcentral